Molecule: ribosomal RNA, 477 nt
Filed under: uncultured organism
Description: partial 16S ribosomal RNA
Rfam family: Bacterial small subunit ribosomal RNA
Source: RNAcentral
UACACUCCUGCGGGAGGCAGCAGUGGGGAAUUUUGGACAAUGGGCGAAAGCCUGAUCCAGCCAUGCCGCGUGCAGGAUGAAGGCCUUCGGGUUGUAAACUGCUUUUGUACGGAACGAAACGGCCUUUUCUAAUAAAGAGGGCUAAUGACGGUACCGUAAGAAUAAGCACCGGCUAACUACGUGCCAGCAGCCGCGGUAAUACGUAGGGUGCAAGCGUUAAUCGGAAUUACUGGGCGUAAAGCGUGCGCAGGCGGUUAUGUAAGACAGUUGUGAAAUCCCCGGGCUCAACCUGGGAACUGCAUCUGUGACUGCAUAGCUAGAGUACGGUAGAGGGGGAUGGAAUUCCGCGUGUAGCAGUGAAAUGCGUAGAUAUGCGGAGGAACACCGAUGGCGAAGGCAAUCCCCUGGACCUGUACUGACGCUCAUGCACGAAAGCGUGGGGAGCAAACAGGAUUAGAUACCCCGGUAGUCCCAUGA